Molecule: unclassified non-coding RNA, 220 nt
Filed under: Hevea brasiliensis (rubber tree)
Lineage: Eukaryota; Viridiplantae; Streptophyta; Magnoliopsida; Malpighiales; Euphorbiaceae
Source: RNAcentral
ACUUUUCCGGUAACGGGUCUGUCUAGCCAGAAUUUCGCAUACCCGGUCAACUGUCGAAUUUUCACGAAUCGAUGAUACCUACACGAAGCCCAUAAUACGGGGGUUAGUACAUAAAUUUUUCAGAAUUUUCUAAGCUCAUUUAAUGCUCGGAAAAACACUGCGAAGUUCCGUGGGACCCACAGAAAAACGGUGUUGAAAAAAUUUAAAAUUUAUGUCGCCG